AGCGGAGUGGCGCAGCGGAAGCGCGGUUGGCUCAUAACCCACAGGCCCCAGGAUUGAAACUUGGCUCUGCUA
RNAcentral lists this transfer RNA (72 nucleotides) under Turnera subulata. It matches the Rfam family "tRNA". From Rfam's summary of the family: Transfer RNA (tRNA) molecules are approximately 80 nucleotides in length. Their secondary structure includes four short double-helical elements and three loops (D, anti-codon, and T loops). Lineage: Eukaryota; Viridiplantae; Streptophyta; Magnoliopsida; Malpighiales; Passifloraceae. The record is from Rfam by way of RNAcentral.